GGCGUAUUUUGCCCAGGCGGAGCUCGACCGCCCCGUCAAGCGAUGAUGGACUUUAUGGAUGAACACCGCGAAGCCGACGGGGUCGAGCCGAUCUGCAAGGUUCUGCAGGUUGCCCG
Molecule: regulatory RNA element, 116 nt
Organism: Thiocystis violascens DSM 198
Lineage: Bacteria; Pseudomonadati; Pseudomonadota; Gammaproteobacteria; Chromatiales; Chromatiaceae
Rfam family: ALIL pseudoknot
Source: Rfam